RNAcentral lists this ribosomal RNA (497 nucleotides) under uncultured bacterium. RNAcentral describes it as "partial 16S ribosomal RNA". It matches the Rfam family "Bacterial small subunit ribosomal RNA", at positions 28 to 507 of the family's 1533-position model. The record is from RNAcentral.
GAUGAACGCUGGCGGCGUGCCUAAUACAUGCAAGUCGAGCGAACAGAUAAGGAGCUUGCUCCUUUGACGUUAGCGGCGGACGGGUGAGUAACACGUGGGUAACCUACCUAUAAGACUGGGAUAACUUCGGGAAACCGGAGCUAAUACCGGAUAAUAUUUCGAACCGCAUGGUUCGAUAGUGAAAGAUGGUUUUGCUAUCACUUAUAGAUGGACCCGCGCCGUAUUAGCUAGUUGGUAAGGUAACGGCUUACCAAGGCGACGAGACGUAGCCGACCUGAGAGGGUGAUCGGCCACACUGGAACUGAGACACGGUCCAGACUCCUACGGGAGGCAGCAGUAGGGAAUCUUCCGCAAUGGGCGAAAGCCUGACGGAGCAACGCCGCGUGAGUGAUGAAGGUCUUCGGAUCGUAAAACUCUGUUAUUAGGGAAGAACAUACGUGUAAGUAACUGUGCACGUCUUGACGGUACCUAAUCAGAAAGCCACGGCUAACUACGUG